Molecule: ribosomal RNA, 450 nt
Filed under: uncultured bacterium
Lineage: Bacteria
Description: partial 16S ribosomal RNA
Rfam family: Bacterial small subunit ribosomal RNA
Source: RNAcentral
GUGGGGAAUAUUGGACAAUGGGGGGAACCCUGAUCCAGCCAUGCCGCGUGUGUGAAGAGGCCUUUUGGUUGUAAAGCACUUUAAGCGAGGAGGAGGCUACCGAGAUUAAUACUCUUGGAUAGUGGACGUUACUCGCAGAAUAAGCACCGGCUAACUCUGUGCCAGCAGCCGCGGUAAUACAGAGGGUGCAAGCGUUAAUCGGAUUUACUGGGCGUAAAGCGCGCGUAGGUGGCCAAUUAAGUCAAAUGUGAAAUCCCCGAGCUUAACUUGGGAAUUGCAUUCGAUACUGGUUGGCUAGAGUAUGGGAGAGGAUGGUAGAAUUCCAGGUGUAGCGGUGAAAUGCGUAGAGAUCUGGAGGAAUACCGAUGGCGAAGGCAGCCAUCUGGCCUAAUACUGACACUGAGGUGCGAAAGCAUGGGGAGCAAACAGGAUUAGAAACCCUGGUAGUCC